GCCCAUAUAGCUCAGUCGGUAGAGCACUUCCUUGGUAAGGAAGAGGUCACCGGUUCAAAUCCGGUUAUGGGCU
Molecule: transfer RNA, 73 nt
Organism: Acidihalobacter prosperus
Lineage: Bacteria; Pseudomonadati; Pseudomonadota; Gammaproteobacteria; Chromatiales; Ectothiorhodospiraceae
Rfam family: tRNA
About the family: Transfer RNA (tRNA) molecules are approximately 80 nucleotides in length. Their secondary structure includes four short double-helical elements and three loops (D, anti-codon, and T loops). Further hydrogen bonds mediate the characteristic L-shaped molecular structure. tRNAs have two regions of fundamental functional importance: the anti-codon, which is responsible for specific mRNA codon recognition, and the 3' end, to which the tRNAs corresponding amino acid is attached (by aminoacyl-tRNA synthetases). tRNAs cope with the degeneracy of the genetic code in two manners: having more than one tRNA (with a specific anti-codon) for a particular amino acid; and 'wobble' base-pairing, i.e. permitting non-standard base-pairing at the 3rd anti-codon position.
Source: Rfam